Long non-coding RNA from Raphanus sativus (radish), 1073 nucleotides. RefSeq lists it as uncharacterized. The record is from RefSeq and is a predicted model, not a curated record. The transcript has 4 exons. NCBI's taxonomy places the organism in Eukaryota, Viridiplantae, Streptophyta, Magnoliopsida, Brassicales, Brassicaceae.
UUGGGCUUGGAUUAGCGUUAUUUGCUUCAUAGAACAAAUCUAAGGAUAUCCUUUUUUUUUGUUCGUCACAAUUCACCUUCCCCUUCUCACUCUUCGUCUUCUUUACUAUCGUCGACAUUUGGUUUCUAGGGUUCAUGCAAGCUCUGAUUAGGUCAAACAGUAAAAGAGGAGGUGCAUUGAAUGAGGAUCUCCUCCUUGGUUUGUAUUCGCAGAUCCUUCAAAGGAUUUUUCGACAGUCACUCUGCGACCUAAUUACUUGCAAUUGUGUAGUUCAAUAACCUCACCGAGAAACUCUGUAUAUUCCCGAUAUGGUUGCUUCUGUCGGGAUGGUCAUGGAUGUUCCUACUCGCUAUCUCAUAGAUUGGGGAGCAGUUUGAUUUAACUUUGAUGACAAUGGUGGCGGCUGGUAUCAACAUGGGUGAAAGAGCUCCCUAGAAAGGAAAGGGUUCUAACUACCCGGAGAUUUUAACAUUUUAUUAGGAGAUGCAUCUAUGAGACGUGGUAAAAUACAUGCCGCAAUACACAUGGCUCGAAGAUGAGUUCCCAAAGGUUAACAUAGCAGAAACUCCAUGGUUCGUUCUCAAUCAUUCAUCAUGGCACAGCAUCUAUGAUUACCAUUAUAUGGAAGGUGAAACCAUGAGAGUGAUGUAUGAGGCGUGGUUUGUCAGUUACAAAGUAGAUGUUUCUCAGGUCAUGUCCACGCAUGCGAAAGAUCAGUAAGAACACAAAACUUUAGCUCAUCAUGUAUAUUUUUAAAUUAUAUAUUAUGACAUCUUUGACCUCUUGUGAAACCAAAAGACGCAUAUCAAACACCGUGGUUAAUAUCAUUUGCAGUCCACUAAAAGAUCCAUCUGUUCCUGCCUAUAUCACCAUUUGUGAUGGAGGAAACUUUGAAGGAUUGGCUACCAAGUAAGGAGUUGACUAACACAUGUAACAUGUAAUUCUAGGUCGGCUCUUUCUCAAUGCAAUCUCUCGAACUAAUUUUUAUUCUAGAGUAUUACAUUUUGUUUAACAUGCUUUUGUUUCAACGGUUUUGUUCUUACAUUUUUUCCACUGGAUGUUACACUACUAUA